CCCUUAGAUGUUCUGGGCCGCACGCGUGCUACACUGAGUGGAUCAGCGGGUCAGGUUGCGCGAAAGUGUUUCCUAAUCUUGAAAUCCGCUCGUGAUGGGGAUUGACGGUUGCAAUUUUCCGUCAUGAACGAGGAAUACCUUGUAAGCGCGGGUCAUCAUCCCGCGCUGAAUACGUCCCUGCCCUUUGUACACACCGCCCGUCGCUCCUACCGAUUGGGUGGUCCGGUGAGGCUUUGGGAUCUGAGCAAAAAGAGCGUUUCGCUCGUUUGGCUCGGAAAACUCAGUCGAACCUUAUCAUUUAGAGGAAGGAGAAGUCGUAACA
RNAcentral lists this ribosomal RNA (322 nucleotides) under uncultured eukaryote. RNAcentral's name for it is "partial 18S ribosomal RNA". It matches the Rfam family "Eukaryotic small subunit ribosomal RNA", at positions 1470 to 1796 of the family's 1831-position model. The record is from RNAcentral.